GUGUUACUUAGCUCAGUUGGUAGAGCAUGAGGCUCUUAAUCUCAGGGUUGUGGGUUCAAGCCCCACGUAGGGCA
Non-coding RNA from Podarcis lilfordi (Lilford's wall lizard), 74 nucleotides. The record is from the annotation of a GenBank genome assembly. NCBI's taxonomy places the organism in Eukaryota, Metazoa, Chordata, Lepidosauria, Squamata, Lacertidae.